AGUGAACGCUGGCGGUAGGCCUAACACAUGCAAGUCGAACGGCAGCACAGUAAGAGCUUGCUCUUACGGGUGGCGAGUGGCGGACGGGUGAGGAAUACAUCGGAAUCUACUUUUUCGUGGGGAAUAACGUAGGGAAACUUACGCUAAUACCGCAUACGUCUUACGGGUGAAAGCAGGGGAUCUUCGGACCUUGCUCGAUUGAUUGAGCCGAUGUCGGUUUAGCUAGUUGGCGGGGUAAAGGCCCACCAAGGCUACGAUCCGUAGCUGGACUGAGAGGAUGAUCAGCCACACAGGAACUGAGACACGGUCAAGACUCCUACGGGAGGCAGCAGUGGGGAAUAUUGGACAAGGGGCGCAAGCCUGAUGCAGCAAUACCGCGUGGGUGAGGAAGGCCUUCGGGUUGUAAAACCUUUUUGUUGGGAAAGAAAAGCAGCAGGUGAAUACGCGGAUGUACUGGCGGUACCCAAAGAAAAAGCACCGGCUAACUACGUG
This 492-nucleotide ribosomal RNA is filed under the name uncultured bacterium. RNAcentral describes it as "partial 16S ribosomal RNA". It matches the Rfam family "Bacterial small subunit ribosomal RNA", at positions 29 to 507 of the family's 1533-position model. The record is from RNAcentral.